Non-coding RNA from Ictidomys tridecemlineatus (thirteen-lined ground squirrel), 69 nucleotides. NCBI's taxonomy places the organism in Eukaryota, Metazoa, Chordata, Mammalia, Rodentia, Sciuridae. The record is from Rfam.
GGGGUUGUGGCUCAGCAGUAGAGCGCUCACCUAACAUGUGGGAGGUGCUGGGUUCAAUCCUCAGCACCA